Molecule: long non-coding RNA, 713 nt
Organism: Frieseomelitta varia
Lineage: Eukaryota; Metazoa; Arthropoda; Insecta; Hymenoptera; Apidae
Exons: 3
Source: RefSeq, a predicted model, not a curated record
CGAUGUUGAGAAACCCUUGUUGCACACCAUACAAACAUGCGGUUUCUCUCCUUCAAUUUAACAACAAAAUCAAAUUACUUGACCGAUGGUCAAUUGUUAAAGGACUUACGUCCUUAGAUGAGAGACGGUCGGUCAAAGGAUUUCCCACAAACUUCACACGGCAACAGUACUCUCUCUCCUCUUUUAAUCGUCGUUAAAAUACUACAGUCUAAAUGAUCCCCUGUCAAGGAUAACGUUGAUGACGAGGAUUCCUCAGACGUAGACUCGUAUUCGUCUACCUCGUAGUACGGAUGUGAAAUCGUUGAUGACGAAUGAUGAGAGAGCAAUGCCAUGGAUAAGUCUAAUGGGGAUUCUUGAGCACAAAAUCUGGUUAGUCCGAUCUCCUAGCAAAUAUCCCUGAUCGCGACUGUAACCAUCCCUCUCAUGGUCACCCGUUUAUCCGGCGGUUCUCUUCUUCGGUCGGCGAGCCCUCCUGUUCGGAAUUGAAGGUUCGCUGGCAUUGUACUGUCUUUUAUAUCCCCCGGUAAGCGCAGGGGUCUGCGCAUUUGAAUCAUGAGCGAACGAACGAGGCACCUUGUGAUCCAGCCGACAAAAAUACCGGCGCAUAUUUGCAUUUCAGAUUUGUUAGCCGACUUUCUUUCCUUCUUUUUCGAUUGGCUCGCGAUUGCGCCGAUUAACGCGAUUGCACCCGGUCAAGAUUUCAAUCGCCGAAC